Oncorhynchus tshawytscha (Chinook salmon) is the source of this 965-nucleotide long non-coding RNA. The record is from Ensembl. Lineage: Eukaryota; Metazoa; Chordata; Actinopteri; Salmoniformes; Salmonidae.
CUUUAACAUUAUAGUUGGGUUAGUCUCCUCUUAUUAUUGAUGUCCUUUAGUAGUGGUUUCUACUUUAACAUUAUAGAUAGUCUCCUCUUAUUAUUGGUGUCCUUUAGUAGUGGUUUCUACUUUAACAUUAUAGUUGGUCUCCUCUUAUUAUUGGUGUCCUUUAGUAGUGGUUUCUACUUUAACAUUAUAGUUGGGUUAGUCUCCUCUUCUUAUGUCUUCUUCUUCUGUGAUGGUGUCGGGUGUCCUCUCCUGCUCUGGUCUGUCUCUCAGGUGUCUUACAGGUGUCCUCUCCUGCUCUGGUCUGUCUCUCCCAGUCUGGUACAGGUGUCCUCUCCUGCUCUGGUCUGUCUCUCCCAGUCUGGUACAGGUGUCCUCUCCACUCUCUCUCUCCCCGUAGCUUUGCUCUCCUACAUCACACAUUUAUGACUUGUUGACUGAUCUGCUGUUGGACUAUUUGAUUAGUGAUUGUUACUAUGUUUGUAUUAUUAUUUAGGAUUGUUUUUAGCUCAUUUAAUGAGGGUUCAGCAUUGUGUUGGCUACAUGUCUUAGAUUGCUUAGUGCUGUGUUUCUCUCAGAUCAAAGAUGAGGCAAUAAAGGAUCAUGUUGCUGUUGUUCAUGUUGCUGUUGAUCAUGUUGCUGCUGUUCAUGUUGCUGUUCAUGUUGCUGUUGUUCAUGUUGCUGUUGUUCAUGUUGCUGUUGUUCAUGUUGCUGUUGUUCAUGUUGCUGUUGAUCAUGUUGCUGUUGUUCAUGUUGCUGUUGAUCAUGUUGCUGCUGUUCAUGUUGCUGUUCAUGUUGCUGUUGUUCAUGUUGCUGAUCAUGUUGCUGUUCAUGUUGCUGUUGUUCAUGUUGCUGUUCAUGUUGCUGUUGUUCAUGUUGCUGCUGUUCAUGUUGCUGCUGUUCAUGUUGCUGUUGUUCAUGUUGCUGUUGUUCAUGUUGCUGUUGAUGUUGCUGUUGUUCAUGUUGCU